Molecule: long non-coding RNA, 501 nt
Organism: Oncorhynchus tshawytscha (Chinook salmon)
Lineage: Eukaryota; Metazoa; Chordata; Actinopteri; Salmoniformes; Salmonidae
Source: Ensembl
GUUGAGAGAAGGUGGUGGUGGUUGUGAGGAGGAGGUUGUGGUGGUGGUUGAGAGAAGGUGGUGGUGGCUGAGAGGAGGGGAGGUGGUGGUGGUGGUUGAGAGGAGGUGGUGGUGGUUGAGAGGAGGAGGAAGUGGUGGUGGUUGAGAGGAGGAGGUGGUGGUUGAGAGAAGGAGGUGGUGGUUGAGAGAAGGAGGUGGUGGUGGUUGAGAGAAGGAGGUGGUGGUGGUUGAGAGGAGGAGGUGGUGGUGGUUGAGAGGAGGUGGUGUUGGUUGAGAGGAGGAGGUGGUGGUGGUUGAGAGGAGGUGGUGGUGGUUGAGAGGUGGUGGUGGUUGAGAGGAGGAGGUGGUGGUGGUUGAGAGGAGGAGGUGGUGGUGGUUGAGAGGAGGUGGUGUUGGUUGAGAGGAGGAGGUGGUGGUGGUUGAGAGGAGGAGGUGGUGGUGGUUGAGAGGAGGUGGUGUUGGUUGAGAGGAGGAGGUGGUGGUGGUUGAGAGGUGGUGGUG